CGAGCGAACAGAUGAGGAGCUUGCUCCUCUGACGUUAGCGGCGGACGGGUGAGUAACACGUGGAUAACCUACCUAUAAGACUGGGAUAACUUCGGGAAACCGGAGCUAAUACCGGAUAAUAUAUUGAACCGCAUGGUUCAAUAGUGAAAGACGGUUUUGCUGUCACUUAUAGAUGGAUCCGCGCCGCAUUAGCUAGUUGGUAAGGUAACGGCUUACCAAGGCAACGAUGCGUAGCCGACCUGAGAGGGUGAUCGGCCACACUGGAACUGAGACACGGUCCAGACUCCUACGGGAGGCAGCAGUAGGGAAUCUUCCGCAAUGGGCGAAAGCCUGACGGAGCAACGCCGCGUGAGUGAUGAAGGUCUUCGGAUCGUAAAACUCUGUUAUUAGGGAAGAACAAAUGUGUAAGUAACUAUGCACGUCUUGACGGUACCUAAUCAGAAAGCCACGGCUAACUACGUGCCAGCAGCCGCGGUAAUACGUAGGUGGCAAGCGUUAUCCGGAAUUAUUGGGCGUAAAGCGCGCGUAGGCGGUUUUUUAAGUCUGAUGUGAAAGCCCACGGCUCAACCGUGGAGGGUCAUUGGAAACUGGAAAACUUGAGUGCAGAAGAGGAAAGUGGAAUUCCAUGUGUAGCGGUGAAAUGCGCAGAGAUAUGGAGGAACACCAGUGGCGAAGGCGACUUUCUGGUCUGUAACUGACGCUGAUGUGCGAAAG
RNAcentral lists this ribosomal RNA (714 nucleotides) under uncultured Staphylococcus sp. RNAcentral describes it as "bacterial SSU rRNA". It matches the Rfam family "Bacterial small subunit ribosomal RNA", at positions 63 to 759 of the family's 1533-position model. The record is from RNAcentral. Lineage: Bacteria; Bacillati; Bacillota; Bacilli; Caryophanales; Staphylococcaceae.